Maylandia zebra (zebra mbuna) is the source of this 1107-nucleotide long non-coding RNA. RefSeq lists it as uncharacterized. NCBI's taxonomy places the organism in Eukaryota, Metazoa, Chordata, Actinopteri, Cichliformes, Cichlidae. The record is from RefSeq and is a predicted model, not a curated record.
UGCAACUGUCCUGUGGGAAGAUUGGAUUCUGCCUAUGUUUUUAGUCUACAGGUUGGCUGCCCUUCUAGGACCUCGUAUCUCAUCCAGUUCUCUAACUUGAACCCCACUGUGACAUUCUGACCAAUGGUUAGAGAGACUCUGUCCCCUAAAUGGAGUGCUGCAGAGGAAAAUAAUCUAUUUAUACUUGUUCUUUUUAAAAAUAUAAGACACAACAGACCUAUUAAAGCCCUGAUUUUUUAAAAAUGUACAUAAGAAAGAAAUUUGCUUAUAAUGGUUACAUUUUAAUAAGCUGUACAAGGUCAGAAAUAUUCUAUGACAUCAACCUCCAGUCAGGACAUUCUAACUGGCUGAUCUAAAUGACUUUGUAUAACCUUAUGUGUCUCUAAAUGAAUUAACUUGACUUAUUCAUUUACAGACUUAGCCUUGUUUAUGUAUAAGAAGAAUGUUCCUUCAGAGCUUUCCUGCUCAUGAUGUCCGGCACAGGAAAAAUGAUACGGGAGCUCGACUUGAUCUGCUGUUUUCUGUGCCUUAUUCUGAUAUGUGUGAGGUCUGAUCCCUGGGGGUGACCUUCAGUGCUGCCAUCUGUAAGGUUCUCAGAAUGAUUAAAGAGUGAAAAGACUACAAGCUGUCUUUGUUGCAGUAGAGAGUGGUUCUCAAACUUUUCACAGAUGUAACGAGUGAUAAUAAUAACAACUGUACUGGCAUCCAGGCGACAGUUCCCGACUCACCGACGGCAUCUCCCACACCUCCACCGAUUCUCCCGGGGGCCUUCGACUCAUCGAUGGUGGCUGGGAUCAGGGCACGGCGGCACCACGGAAAAGGGCUGUGUUUUUACCAUCAGUGUGACAGUGCCGUGCCACCUUUGCAGUUUUAAGGCCCAGGGAAAUGAGCCCGCCAGUGCUCUGUAGCGGCGAUAAGGAAAGGCUGCUCUUCAUAGAGGACUCACGCUCAGGGAGCCGUUUUCUGGUUGACUUCGGUUCCCAGAAGAGCCUCGGGAACUCUCGUGUCAUCUUUGCAUGCUUCCAUGAUAGUAUAUAGUAUAGUAGUAUAUUAUUUAAUCUUAAAAAAAAUUUGAGAUUUCCUGCGUACCACCAGAGAGAGCCCAAG